Long non-coding RNA from Saccostrea cuccullata (small rock oyster), 436 nucleotides. RefSeq lists it as uncharacterized. The record is from RefSeq and is a predicted model, not a curated record. The transcript has 2 exons. Lineage: Eukaryota; Metazoa; Mollusca; Bivalvia; Ostreida; Ostreidae.
UAAACACUUCCGUUACGUGUUUUGACCUAAACAUGUAUAAGAUUGUGUUUAACGGCUAAACAUUUAGGUCUAAACGUGUGUUAGAUUGUGUUUAACUGCUAAACACUUGUGUCUAAACGUGUGUUUUAUCUAAAUGAUGUUAAGAUUUAACACAUGUUUAGAUAGAAGUGUUUAGAAAUUGAACACUUUUCUGUGAAGUGCAGAGUUAUCUUCCCGGAAAUGACGCAUAUAUAUUCGAAUGAUAAAUAGAGCGGUUAUCGAAACAAAGGAAAUCCCAAUGUUAGCUAAAGAAGAUGGAUUAAAGGAAGUGAAUGCUAAUCAAAGUGAUAACCAUGAAGAGAUUGUGAAAUGCAUUUAAACUGCAACAUUACUGCGAUAAAAGGAUAUGGUCCACAUCGAACUUGAAAGCAAAAAUACACGUAUCAGAGAAACUGUU